CCUACGGGAGGCAGCAGUGAGGAAUAUUGGUCAAUGGACGAGAGUCUGAACCAGCCAAGUAGCGUGAAGGAUGACUGCCCUAUGGGUUGUAAACUUCUUUUAUAUGGGAAUAAAAUGUUCCACGUGUGGGAUUUUGUAUGUACCAUAUGAAUACGGAUCGGCUAACUCUGUGCCAGCAGCCGCGGUAAUACGGAGGAUCCGAGCUUUAUCCGGAUUUAUUGGGUUUAAAGGGAGCGUAGGUGGUUUGUUAAGUCAGUUGUGAAAGUUUGCGGCUCAACUGUAAAAUUGCAGUUGAAACUGGCAGUAUAGAGUACAGUAGAGGUAGGCGGAAUUCGUGGUGUAGCGGUGAAAUGCUUAGAUAUCACGAAGAACUCCGAUUGCGAAGGCAGCUCACUGGACUGCAACUGACACUGAGGCUCGAAAGUGUGGGUAGCAAACAGGAUUAGAUACCCCUGUAGUC
Molecule: ribosomal RNA, 460 nt
Filed under: uncultured bacterium
Lineage: Bacteria
Description: partial 16S ribosomal RNA
Rfam family: Bacterial small subunit ribosomal RNA
Source: RNAcentral